This 253-nucleotide ribosomal RNA is filed under the name uncultured bacterium. Its description in RNAcentral is "partial 16S ribosomal RNA". It matches the Rfam family "Bacterial small subunit ribosomal RNA", at positions 524 to 776 of the family's 1533-position model. The record is from RNAcentral.
UACGUAGGGGGCGAGCGUUGUCCGGAGUUACUGGGCGUAAAGGGCAUGCAGGCGGUUCUGCGCGUUUCGCGUGACAGCUUCGGGCUUAACCGGAAGAGAGUGCGAAAGACGGCGGGACUUGAGGGCCAGAGAGGGACACGGAAUUCCGGGUGGAGUGGUGAAAUGCGUAGAGAUCCGGAGGAACACCGAAGGCGAAGGCAGUGUCCUGGCUGGUGACUGACGCUGAGGUGCGAAAGCCAGGGGAGCGAACGGG